CUGGCCCUCGCCUGUCUCCUGCAUGAUCUGGGCUGAGCGGAAGAUAUCGUCCACAAUCUCACGGAUCGGAUCGUCUCUGGUGCUGAUCCUGGCCAUGGCACGAGGCUUGAUCGGAGCUGGAGUUGGCACGGGCUUGGGACGAGUAAUUCUCAUCGUACCAUACUGUGCUGUAUCGUCAUCCUCCUGCAUAGGGUAUUUGCCCCUAUCUAGAAAC
This 214-nucleotide long non-coding RNA is filed under the name Salvia miltiorrhiza (redroot sage). Its description in RNAcentral is "long non-coding RNA (SMIL_LNC001257)". Lineage: Eukaryota; Viridiplantae; Streptophyta; Magnoliopsida; Lamiales; Lamiaceae. The record is from RNAcentral.